GAUGAACGCUGGCGGCGUGCCUAAUACAUGCAAGUCGAGCGAACAGACGAGGAGCUUGCUCCUCUGACGUUAGCGGCGGACGGGUGAGUAACACGUGGAUAACCUCCCUAUAAGACUGGGAUAACUUCGGGAAACCGGAGCUAAUCCCGGAUAAUAUAUUGAACCGCAUGGUUCAAUAGUGAAAGACGGUUUUGCUGUCACUUAUAGAUGGAUCCGCGCCGCAUUAGCUAGUUGGUAAGGUAACGGCUUACCAAGGCAACGAUGCGUAGCCGACCUGAGAGGGUGAUCGGCGACACUGGAACUGAGCCACGGUCCAGACUCCUACGGGAGGCAGCAGUAGGGAAUCUUCCGCAAUGGGCGAAAGCCUGACGGAGCAACGCCGCGUGAGUGAUGAAGGUCUUCGGAUCGUAAAACUCUGUUAUUAGGGAAGAACAAAUGUGUAAGUAACUAUGCACGUCUUGACGGUACCUAAUCAGAAAGCCACGGCUAACUACGUG
RNAcentral lists this ribosomal RNA (497 nucleotides) under uncultured bacterium. RNAcentral's name for it is "partial 16S ribosomal RNA". It matches the Rfam family "Bacterial small subunit ribosomal RNA", at positions 28 to 507 of the family's 1533-position model. The record is from RNAcentral.